UUUAUUAUUAUCAUUAUUCAUUUUAGACUUCUCUUUUGAAGACACCGCCGUUUUGGAUUGUGUAUAUGAUGUAAAUUCGAUAUAUUUCUACUUUAGAGGAAUAUUUCUAUUAUUUCUCGUAUACACGUUUAACCGACAGAAGAACAAAUUAUAUUUUAUACAAUGGCGGCAGACGAGAGAGGGGUGAGAGGGGAGAGAGGGCAAUUCGAUUCACAAAAAAACCAAUAUUUGUAAUAAUGUGCGCUCGAGUGAUACUUGUCGACAAUUUAUAUUUUAUUUUAUAUUGCACC
This is a non-coding RNA of Cinara cedri, 290 nucleotides long. NCBI's taxonomy places the organism in Eukaryota, Metazoa, Arthropoda, Insecta, Hemiptera, Aphididae. The record is from the annotation of a GenBank genome assembly.